GUUACCUUCUCAACAUGGCGAGCUUGCUGGACGUCACGUCGCCUUCGCCUUUUCCGCUGCGGACUCUGCUCACCGACCUCCUCAGUAGAGCCGGCCCUGCUCACUACCGCGCCCACGUGUCCUGUUGUGCUUCAUUCCCACAGGCCGCAUAAGAAGUGGGUGCCGAGGCUCCCUUCCCACUGCCAUUCCACUGGCCCAGAGGAAGCUUCUGUUGUGUUCAGAUGGGCAGGCACUCUUCCUCGAGAAGUUAAGUAGCCGGAAUAUCUAAAUGCCUCUCCUUGGCGAUUACUCGAUGAGCGCCUGUCCUUCCUCCACUCUUCCAGCAGACCUGCCUUUUGGGGCUGAUGGAAAUAUGCAUAUUAGAUUAUCUGCAGAAACUGGCUCAGCACUACAAGGAGGCUGCCAACAUGAAGACACUGGAUGCGGAAUCAGGAGGAGAUGUAUACAGCUCAGUCUCCAAAGCCAGGACAAGCCAGCUCCAACACACUACUGGCUGAAUCUCACCAAUCGUUAUAGUUUUGUUUUUUGUUUUUUUAAAUGUAUUUAAGCAUUUUUAGGUGUUUUAAAUUUUAUGUGUGUAUUCUAGGAAUAUGUACUCAGAUUCUUUCAUUAGGCAUGUGUUAUUAACAACAUUCAUCUUCUUAAAGGCUGAACCAACUUUGCGCGUUUUAUCAACAGAUAUUCACUGAGCACCUAAUAUUGCCAGGCUGUGCUCAAGGCAGUGGGAUUCAUCAGUGAACAAUACAGACAAAAAUCACUGACCUAAAUGGAGCUUGAAGUUUAUAUCUAAAUCAUUCAAAGAUUCUGUGGUGGAAAAGAAGUUAGAAAUCUUUCAGCUGCAAAACAUAAGCCAAAAUACAACUCACCUUUGGAAUCAGAGAACUUACAGGUUCAUAAAAUUGCGAAGCCCAGAUGUGCACCUGAGGUGAGACUUCGUCCAGCUUCUGUCUGUGUCACUAAUCUUUCCUGCUUUCAGCGGCAUCCCUCGCAGGCCCGUGUUGUUCCCAACUGGUGUUCCCACCUGGCGGCAAACUGGUGACUGUAGUUACAGAUCUUCAACAUCACACUCAGGAGAAGAAGGAGAUUGCUUUUCAGGAGCUCCUGCAAGCCGGAGAAUAAAAGCUCUUAUUUAUUCAGAAGCCCUAAAACAUACCACCUUGGCUAUAGACUAUUUGGACAUUUCUAAGCAAAUCUGUCUGCAAAGGUGCUGAGCUGUGUUGAUCAACUGAAGCCCGUGACGUCUCAUCCUUGCAGUUGGAGCAAAUCUCAAAGGCAAAGCCAGUGUUAAGGAGAGGGAAAUCAGACUUCAUCUUUCGAUGGGAGAAGAAAAGAGUUUGCAACUGUCUCUAUUCUGCCACUGGCAGAGAAUCCAUAGGUUUGCUAAGGAUACAGAGCCACAUUGAAAAGAUAAACCUUGCUAUGCUGGAGAUUACUUAGGUGGGCCAGGAUUUCUUGAAACCAAAACUUUACUGAAUCACCUCUUCACCAUCUGUAUGCCGUGCAUUUGCUGAG
RNAcentral lists this long non-coding RNA (1512 nucleotides) under Homo sapiens (human). RNAcentral describes it as "F11 antisense RNA 1". The record is from RNAcentral. Lineage: Eukaryota; Metazoa; Chordata; Mammalia; Primates; Hominidae.